Molecule: long non-coding RNA, 911 nt
Filed under: Sus scrofa (pig)
Lineage: Eukaryota; Metazoa; Chordata; Mammalia; Artiodactyla; Suidae
Description: lncRNA (ENSSSCG00050061237.1)
Source: RNAcentral
AGCGCACCCCCCGCAUCCAGCCCCCAGGAGGCGCCUUCCCAACCCGAACCCAGGCUUCAAGACACUCACCCGGUCAUGACGCUCAGGAUCUUGCUUUCUUGUUUUCUCCCACCUUGGAACAGUCUCCUAAGACUACACCGAAUUGUUGCCACGGAAGCAGUGGUGAUGCCUGGCUUCAUUCAUCUCAGCCCCGUGAGUCCAGGGAAAGCCCUGUGUCAGCCGUCCUGACCAAACAUGCUCGUUGCUCAACAAACACCGACCGAAAGGACCCGCUGAUGAAAGGCAGGAACAGGGCGUGCAUUUGCAGAAGCGCAGGAAAGGGAAGUUCUUGCCGAAAAUCCCACGGCCCAUGUCAGAGGCAGAGGGAGACCCGGACAGCUCGGGGCAGCCCUGGGCCCUGCCGCUGCCUCCGGCCCCCGGGUCUGGGACACGGCGCUCUCUGCAUGUGCAUUUGGCAGGAGGGAGAGCGGAGUCCGGCUGAGGAGGAACCCCCGCUGAGCAACUCGGAGCCUGUGCCUCGUCACACGCUCUGCGUCUCUCUGUCCCACUGCCUCUGAGGACUGGGUGAGUCACCUCAACGGCUGGGGACCAUGGGAGGUGGCAGCACGACCCUGAGCCUCAUGGCCCUUCUCUGCCUCGGGCUGUGCUGGCGCCCAUGGGACCAGGUCCAGGCAGGGGUUCUCCCCAAACCCUCCAUCUGGGCUGACCCGGGACCCACUGACCCCAAGGGGAGCCCUGUGAACCUCUGGUGUCAGGGGUCCCCACAGGCUGAGGUCUACCGUCUGUAUAAAGUGGGGGACUCUGAACACUGGGAGGAUGAAGCCCCACAGGACCUCAGGAACACAGCCCGGUUCCACUUUGAAUCCUUGAGCUCCCGCCAUGCAGGGCGGUACCAGUAUGCUUAUCAGAGC